AUGUGGCUUUGACAGCCUCAUCAAUACCGGGCUUCGGUCAGCCACGAGAAAUCCAGCAGAGUUGCCGAGCAAGGUGAACACUGUCUUUGAUGCAGAAAAUACCUGGAAAUUCCUAGAGAAGGCUGUCUUUUUCCUCACCAGUAAAUCAAGGCAGAAGUGGACUAGAAGAAUUCUAUGAAGGAAGACACAUCCUGCUAAAGCCAGAGGUGCUUGCUGUCCAUCCCAACCUCAUUUGGAAUAUUUCUGUGGCUCAGAUUCAGUGAACUCCAAACACGUGGACCAGUGCUCCUGUGGCCAUCACACUACGUCAAGGGCUGGACUUGGCUUUAGAAUCCUUGCUCCAAAGACCACUGCUGUCAAAGAAAGAACAAGCAGACAUCCCACCACAGGAGGUAAACAAAGAGCUCUCAGUCAGAGAGUUGGGGAAAAGGAAGACAGGCACCACUCUAAGGAAAAGGAAUCCCAUUUUUCCUUUUUUUCUUUCCUCUUUUUUUUCUUUUUAGGGCCAUGCCUGCAGCAUAUGGAAGUUCGUGAGCUAAAGGUUGAAUUGGAGCUGCAGCCUCUAGCCUACACCAUAGCCACAGCAAUGCCAGAUCCAAGCUGUGCUGCAGCUGGUAGCAACACCAGACUCUUAACCCACUGAGCAAGGCCAGGGAUCAAACCCACGUCCUCACAGAGAUAAUGUCAGGUCCUUAACCCACUGAGCCACAAUGGGAACUCCCUCUACUUCUGCUCUUGUAUCUCUGGAUGAGCGAGUUAAGCCAAGGUCUUUUGUAAAGAUCUAGCCUCUUUCCCCAAAGGCAUGUCUGAACGUGCUGGUUUUCAGACUUUCAUUUGUAGUAGGAAAUAGGGUACCAUAUUUUGACCUGCUAAGUUAAAUUCUCCCAAAUUUAAAACUGAAAAAAAUAAAAUAAAAUAAAACUGAAAGCUAUUCCUUGGCAUUUAAGAGUCAUGAUUGACUCUUAGUAGCAUGGGAUUCAUGAAGUAGGUUCUUCCUCAGGAGCGUGCAGGGACAAGGGAUGUUUGGUAGAACAGGAUUUGAGUAUUUUUGGAUUCCUGGUUAUUAUGCUAUGUAAAAUGCAUCAAUCUUAUCUUAGUCGCUGUCAAUAUUGUCAAAGUUAUAAAAUUAUCUUGUAUAUUUCAGGGUUAAUAAAAUAUAGAUUUUAUCUUAACAUAGGUUGGUAAAAAAUGGUGGUAGUUAUGUAAUCCCAUGAUGGUGGUUGGGCAGGUAGAGAUUAUAAAUAAAUAGGUUUUUGGUGGAUGGGUUUAUAGAAACAAAAUCUAUUUGUUAUAUAGCCCAAGGGCUUUUCCCCUCCUUUCCUGAAAGUGCGGUUAAUGGGAAUAGAUAGUUUCCCAGUAUCAGAUGCAUUUUAGACUGGAAUUCUGCAUAGAUUAUAAAGUGUGGUGAGGUGGAAAGGGAACAGGAUUGAGAGCCAAGAAACCUGGAUUUCUCUCAUCAACUCAUUUUGUGAGUUGGCAUAAGGGACAAUAUUUGGGUCAGGGUCCCCAUCUGCACAGUGGAUUAAUUGGCUAUCAUUUCUAUAUUGCUUUCCCCUUCAAGUAUGCUAUGCCUGUCCCUAUUUGAAGGAGAGAACAGCUUAGACUGAAAUAUGCUUGCUGGAGAAAAGACUGGAUUUCAGAAAUGGACAAUUUUGGAGUUCCCGUUGUGGGUCCGCAGGUUAUAAAUCUGACUAAUACCCAUGAGGAUGUAGGUUCAAUCCCUGGCCUUGCUCAGUGGGUUAAGGAUCUGGUGUUAUUGCAAGCUGUGGUGUAGUAUGCAGGUGCGGCUUGGAUCUGGCAUUGCUGUGGCUGUGGCAAAGGCUGGCAGCUGCACCUCCAAUUCAACCCCUAGCCUUGGGAACUUCCACGUGCUGCAGGUGUGGCUGUAAAAAGAAAAUAAUAAAGGAGUUCCCGUCGUGGCACAGUGGUUAAUGAAUCCGACUAGGAACCAUGAGGUUGCGGGUUUGGUCCCUGCCCUUGCUCAGUGGGUUAACGAUCCGGCGUUGCCGUGAGCUGUGGUGUAGGUUGCAGACUCGGCUCGGAUCCCGCGUUGCUGUGGCUCUGGCGUAGGCCGGUGGCUACAGCUGCGAUUCAACCCCUAGCCUGGGAACCUCCAUAUGCCGCGGGAGCAGCCCAAGAAAUAGCAACAACAACAACAACAAAAGACAAAAAGACAAAAAAAAAAAAAUAAUAAUAAUAAUAAUAAUAAAGAAAUGGACAAUUUUUAUUACUCCUCACAUUCCCUGGUCCCUCCUUCUGCCUUUUGGUGAAGCAUGGAUGUGUACAUAGCAAAGAAGCUGAUUUAAUAGAUGAAUCUUCUUAGUGUCUCUGAAAUCUCUUCUCUAUCUUCCCCUGGUCAGCUAAAGUUAGUGCCAUUAGUCUGUUUAUCCCACUGCCUGUCUCCUUACCUCUCCCUAAAUUAAGGCCUUAGUUAUAAGCUAGUUUAAAAAAAUAAUAAUAAUAAUACAUAGGAGUUCCCAUCGUGGCUCAGCGGGUUAACGAAUCCAACUAGCAUCCAUGAAGACGUGGGUUCAAUCCCUGGCCUUGAUCAGUGGGUUAAGGAUCAAGCAUUGCCACCAGCUAUGGUGUAGGUUGCAGACAUGGCUCGGAUCUGGCAUUGCUGUGGCUGUGGCAUAGGCCGGCAGCUACAGCUCCAAUUCCACCCCUAGCCUGGGAACCUCCAUAUGCUGUGGGUGUGGCCCUAAAGAAACAAAAAAGACAAAAAAAAAAAAAAUCCCAGAAAUGUUACAUGAAAUACCCUGCAUGGGUGACAAUGAUAGGUUCAGGGCCAAGGAGCCAUGAUGGACAGAAUGCAUUCCUGGAAUGAGGCCCAACACCACAUGCACAGAAAAAUGUUAAAAGUGUAUGUUCAGUUUGAGGCAUAGGAGUCUCUCCAGAAAUAAGUGCAUGUGGCUGGCUUUAACUAGGUGUGUGCUUCUGAGGUUUGUGGGAAUACCUAGGUAGAAAUGCUGUACACAUGAAGAGCCUGAGCCCAUGUAGCCUGACUGCUUUCUCUCUCAUUCUGUGAGCAAAAAUAGCAGUCAUCUUUGUCAGUCCUUGCUUGUCCUUUCUCUCCUUCUAUGAGCUAUUGUUUAUUCUGUAGAAUUUUUUAAAAGCCUCUUGUAAACAGGGUACCUCAUGACAGUUUAUUUUAGAAUUAGUGUACAGACAGACUUUACAGGAAUUUGUCGACAUUAAAAAAACAUUUUUUUUUACUCUAUAUGCAAUUUUUUUUUUCUUUUUAGGGCUGCACCUGUGGCAUAUGGAAGUUCCCAGGCUAGGGGUUGAAUUGGAACUGCAGCUGCUGGCCUAUGUCACAGCCACAGCAACAUCAGAUCUGAGCCACAUCUACGACCUACACUGCAGGUUGUGGCAAUGCCAGAUCCUUAACCCACUGAACAAGGCCCAAGAUCGAACCCACAUCCUUAUGGAUGCUAUGUCAAGUUCUUAACCUACUGAGCCACAGUGGGAACUCUUCUAUAUGCCAUUUUUAAUUAAAAUAUAACAUUUAAAAUGUGUUUAAUAAAAACCUGAAACUGAAGUAAUUUUUUUUUUCUUUUUAGAGCCAUACCUGUGCCAUAUGGAAGUUCCCAAGCUAGGAGUUGAAUCAGAGCUAUAGCUGCCAGCUCAUACCACAGCUACAGCAAUGCCAGAUCCAAGCUGCAUCUUUGACCUACACCGCUGCUGAUGGCAACACCAGAUCCUCAGCCUACUGCGCAAGGCCAGGGAUCAAAUCCGCAUCCUCAUGGAUACUAGUCAGGUUUGUUACCCCUGAGCCACAACUGGAACUCCAGAAACUGAAGUAAUUUUUUAACUUCAGACUAAAUAUUUAUUUUUAAUAACAGAACCAUAUUGGGCCUUGGAGUAUCUCUCUAGAAUUUAAAGAAUAUUCUAAAAAAUUUAAGAAAUUAGGUCAUUGCAUUUUUUUUUUUAAAUUAAAGUGUAGUUGAUUUACAAUGUUGUGUCAAUUUCUGCUGCACGGCAUAGAACCCAUUUAUUCUCACUAUCUUCCAUCAUGGUCCAUCCCAAGAGACUAGAUAUGGUUCCCUGUGCUAUACAGUAGGACCUCAUUGCUUAUCCAUUCUAAAUGGAAUAGUUUGCAUCUACCCACCCCAAACUCCCAGUCCAUCCCACUCCCUCCCCCUCUCCCUUGGUAACCACUAAUGUGUUCUCUAUGUCUCUGAGUUUGUUUCUGUUUUGUAUAGUUUCAUUUGUGCCAUAUCUUAGAUUCCACCAUAUAAGUGAGAAUGUGACUGCAUUUAAAUCCAGCCUUACGUAUGUCCCCUCUCCCACCUCAGCAAAGAUGCCCCCCUCCACCUUCUGUUAUUAGCAGGAGAGGAAAACUCCUGGCUUGUUUUCUGGCAGCGUCGCACACAAAUACAGUUAACAUCAUCAUUUUUGGUAAAGUUGGAUCUUCUGAUUUAUUUCUCAAUUAGAAACAAGCUAGCAAAUCAAAACAUCCAGACUUUUUUUUUUCCCCUAAUGAGGAGAGGGUGAUGAAAUGAGAGAGGUGUAUUUUUUUUUGUUUUUUUUUCUUUUCCUUUUUCUAAAUGCCUGCAAAAUAGACUAUGCCAUCUCCAUUUCUAGGGAUGGAUGAAUCAACCAUGUUUUCCUGUUUGUUGAGAGGUCAUGUGAUGACUGUAGUUCAAGGUUGGUAUUCCACGUGGUGAGACAACUUCAGUGGAUAGUCACAAGCACAUCUGGCUCUAGCUGAAGGCCCACAGAUCUUUUGGAGGCUUGACGGAAGAGCAAAUCCACAGUUGAAAGCAUAUAAAAGUGAGAAAGCCCUCGAGAUUCUCUAGACAGCCAAAUAUUUACCAUGUGUCUUUCUGGAUAUGGUGUCAGGCUUGUUGCAAAGUAAACACGUCAAGACCAGGCUUGCACCAACCUGAAGGAGUGGAACAUUUUCCUGGUGAUUCAGUUCGCUCCGAAAAAGAUUUAUUGAGCUUCCAAAUACUGUUUGCUAUGGAAAAUACAAAAAAGUCCAGCAGUUGAGGGCAUGAUCACAGCCUUGAGCAAAUUUUGAUCUGCUUGGGCAGACAAAAUUUAACAAUGAAAAGUACAAUACAGUGUUCGAUUAACUUUGAAGAGCAGAUACUUCAACCUUCUUAACAUUUUUCACAUCAAAAUACACAUAGAAAAACAUUUAAAUAGUAUAUGAAUAGAUUUGGAAGAAACUAAGGGUUACCUAUAUGGGAUUUGGUUUAAAAAAAAAAAAGAGCUUAAACAUGUUUUAUGAUGUAUCAUAGUGAUAAGAAAAUGUAAUGCAAAGUAAAAGAGGAUGUAUUGAAUUUGUCAAAAACUUCCAAAAAUACCUUCAAAUAUUUUAAAGAGUAACUUGAAAUUGCUUUUAUGAACAUAAU
RNAcentral lists this long non-coding RNA (5363 nucleotides) under Sus scrofa (pig). RNAcentral's name for it is "lncRNA (ENSSSCG00045001437.1)". Lineage: Eukaryota; Metazoa; Chordata; Mammalia; Artiodactyla; Suidae. The record is from RNAcentral.